GGGUCUAUAGUUUCAAUGGUAAAACAUUCCUCUCCAAAAGGAAGGUUCCCCGUUCGAGUCGGGGUGGACCCGCCA
Molecule: transfer RNA, 75 nt
Filed under: Candidatus Zambryskibacteria bacterium RIFCSPHIGHO2_02_FULL_38_22
Lineage: Bacteria; Candidatus Zambryskiibacteriota
Also listed under: 3 other names
Description: tRNA-Trp
Rfam family: tRNA
About the family: Transfer RNA (tRNA) molecules are approximately 80 nucleotides in length. Their secondary structure includes four short double-helical elements and three loops (D, anti-codon, and T loops).
Source: RNAcentral